RNAcentral lists this unclassified non-coding RNA (265 nucleotides) under Ascomycota sp. Its description in RNAcentral is "partial contains small subunit ribosomal RNA, internal transcribed spacer 1, and 5.8S ribosomal RNA". The stretch from base 1 to 47 matches the Rfam family "Eukaryotic small subunit ribosomal RNA", at positions 1785 to 1831 of the family's 1831-position model. The record is from RNAcentral. Lineage: Eukaryota; Fungi; Ascomycota.
AAAGUCGUAACAAGGUUUCCGUAGGUGAACCUGCGGAAGGAUCAUUAAAGAGUAAGGGUGCUCAGCGCCCGACCUCCAACCCUCUGUUGUUAAAACUACCUUGUUGCUUUGGCGGGACCGCUUUGGUCCGUCCGAGCCGCCGGGGCCGUCAAAAGCCCAGGCGAGUUCCCGCCAGAGUUAAACCAAACUCUUGUUAAUUAAACCGGUCGUCUGAGUUAAAUUUUUGAAUAAAUCAAAACUUUCAACAACGGAUCUCUUGGUUCUC